UACGUAGGGUGCAAGCGUUGUCCGGAAUUAUUGGGCGUAAAGAGCUCGUAGGCGGUUUGUCGCGUCUGCUGUGAAAGACCGGGGCUCAACUCCGGUACUGCAGUGGGUACGGGCAGACUAGAGUGAUGUAGGGGAGACUGGAAUUCCUGGUGUAGCGGUGAAAUGCGCAGAUAUCAGGAGGAACACCGAUGGCGAAGGCAGGUCUCUGGGCAUUAACUGACGCUGAGGAGCGAAAGCAUGGGGAGCGAACAGG
Molecule: ribosomal RNA, 253 nt
Filed under: uncultured bacterium
Lineage: Bacteria
Description: partial 16S ribosomal RNA
Rfam family: Bacterial small subunit ribosomal RNA
Source: RNAcentral